GUGGGGAAUAUUGGACAAUGGGGGGAACCCUGAUCCAGCCAUGCCGCGUGUGUGAAGAAGGCCUUUUGGUUGUAAAGCACUUUAAGUGGGGAGGAGGCUUACCUGGUUAAUACCUGGGAUAAGUGGACGUUACCCACAGAAUAAGCACCGGCUAACUCUGUGCCAGCAGCCGCGGUAAUACAGAGGGUGCGAGCGUGAAUCGGAUUUACUGGGCGUAAAGCGCGCGUAGGUGGUUAAUUAAGUCAAAUGUGAAAUCCCCGAGCUUAACUUGGGAAUUGCAUUCGAUACUGGUUAGCUAGAGUAUGGGAGAGGAUGGUAGAAUUCCAGGUGUAGCUGUAAAAUGCGUAGAGAUCUGGAGGAAUACCGAUGGCGAAGGCAGCCAUCUGGCCUAAUACUGACACUGAGGUGCGAAAGCAUGGGGAGCAAACAGGAUUAGAAACCCGUGUAGUCC
Molecule: ribosomal RNA, 451 nt
Filed under: uncultured bacterium
Lineage: Bacteria
Description: partial 16S ribosomal RNA
Rfam family: Bacterial small subunit ribosomal RNA
Source: RNAcentral